Molecule: unclassified non-coding RNA, 328 nt
Organism: Dipodomys ordii (Ord's kangaroo rat)
Lineage: Eukaryota; Metazoa; Chordata; Mammalia; Rodentia; Heteromyidae
Gene: 7SK
Rfam family: 7SK RNA
About the family: 7SK was discovered as an abundant small nuclear RNA in the mid-70s but a possible function has only recently been suggested. Two independent studies have found that 7SK RNA binds the CDK9/cyclin T complex (known as elongation factor P-TEFb).
Source: Ensembl
GGACAUAAAGGUGAUACUGUCACCACAUUGAUGGCUGGAUUGAUUCUGCUGACCUGGCUAGAUAGUCAGGGGUCCUCAUCUUUCCUUACUUUUCCAUGUGUAUUUCUGCUUAAGCAGAAACUUGGUUGAAGAGGAUGACCUUCCCAUAUAGAGGAAGACCAUUCUCCAGUACAGAGCAUGAGUAGCUGUGCUUCUCUGCUAGAAGCUCCGAAUGAGCUUUCAAAGUUUACUCAAAGGCCAUAGUGAUCAGGACAGUGGGGUAUUUUGUGAAAGUAGAUAAAUGAAUCUGUGGCACAGAGUAGAGACUCAAGAAAUGGAGCCACUUUAU